GCAGUGGUGGUUCAGUGGUAGAAUUCUCGCCUUCCAUACAGGAGAUCCAGGUUCGAUUCCAGGCCAAUGCA
Molecule: transfer RNA, 71 nt
Filed under: Loxodonta africana (African savanna elephant)
Lineage: Eukaryota; Metazoa; Chordata; Mammalia; Proboscidea; Elephantidae
Rfam family: tRNA
About the family: Transfer RNA (tRNA) molecules are approximately 80 nucleotides in length. Their secondary structure includes four short double-helical elements and three loops (D, anti-codon, and T loops). Further hydrogen bonds mediate the characteristic L-shaped molecular structure. tRNAs have two regions of fundamental functional importance: the anti-codon, which is responsible for specific mRNA codon recognition, and the 3' end, to which the tRNAs corresponding amino acid is attached (by aminoacyl-tRNA synthetases). tRNAs cope with the degeneracy of the genetic code in two manners: having more than one tRNA (with a specific anti-codon) for a particular amino acid; and 'wobble' base-pairing, i.e. permitting non-standard base-pairing at the 3rd anti-codon position.
Source: Rfam by way of RNAcentral